This 630-nucleotide ribosomal RNA is filed under the name uncultured Actinomycetes bacterium. Its description in RNAcentral is "bacterial SSU rRNA". It matches the Rfam family "Bacterial small subunit ribosomal RNA", at positions 56 to 684 of the family's 1533-position model. The record is from RNAcentral. Lineage: Bacteria; Bacillati; Actinomycetota; Actinomycetes.
UGCAAGUCGCGUGCGCAGUUCUUGUAGCAAUACGAGGAUGGGCGCACGGCGCACGGGUGCGUAACACGUGGGCAAUCUGCCCUCCGAUGGGGAAUAACCCCGCGAAAGCGGGGCUAAUACCGCAUAACAUUCCUUGGACUACGGUUUGAGGAUUCAAAGCAGUGAUGCGUCGGAGGAGGAGCCCGCGCCCGAUUAGCUAGUUGGUGAGGUAACGGCUCACCAAGGCAAUGAUCGGUAGCUGGUCUGAGAGGAUGAUCAGCCACACUGGAACUGAGACACGGUCCAGACUCCUACGGGAGGCAGCAGUGGGGAAUCUUGCGCAAUGGGCGAAAGCCUGACGCAGCGACGCCGCGUGGGGGAUGAAGCUUUUCGGAGUGUAAACCCCUUUCGACUGGGACGAAUGCCCGCAAGGGAGUGACGGUACCAGUAGAAGAAGCCCCGGCUAACUACGUGCCAGCAGCCGCGGUAAGACGUAGGGGGCCAGCGUUGUUCGGAAUUACUGGGUGUAAAGGGUUCGUAGGCGGUGUGGCAAGUCGGGAGUGAAAUCUUUGGGCUUAACUCAGAGGCUGCUUCCGAAACUGCUGUGCUUGAGUGUGGGAGAGGCGCGUGGAAUUGCAGGUGUAGCGGUGA